RNAcentral lists this ribosomal RNA (658 nucleotides) under uncultured Bacteroidales bacterium. Its description in RNAcentral is "bacterial SSU rRNA". It matches the Rfam family "Bacterial small subunit ribosomal RNA", at positions 67 to 714 of the family's 1533-position model. Lineage: Bacteria; Pseudomonadati; Bacteroidota; Bacteroidia; Bacteroidales. The record is from RNAcentral.
GGGCAGCAUGGUCUUAGCUUGCUAAGGCCGAUGGCGACCGGCGCACGGGUGAGUAACACGUAUCCAGCCUGCCGUCUACUCUUGGACAGCCUUCUGAAAGGAAGAUUAAUACAAGAUGGCAUCAUGAGUCCGCAUGUUCACAUGAUUAAAGGUAUUCCGGUAGACGAUGGGGAUGCGUUCCAUUAGAUAGUAGGCGGGGUAACGGCCCACCUAGUCUUCGAUGGAUAGGGGUUCUGAGAGGAAGGUCCCCCACAUUGGAACUGAGACACGGUCCAAACUCCUACGGGAGGCAGCAGUGAGGAAUAUUGGUCAAUGGGCGAGAGCCUGAACCAGCCAAGUAGCGUGAAGGAUGACUGCCCUAUGGGUUGUAAACUUCUUUUAUAAAGGAAUAAAGUCGGGUAUGGAUACCCGUUUGCAUGUACUUUAUGAAUAAGGAUCGGCUAACUCCGUGCCAGCAGCCGCGGUAAUACGGAGGAUCCGAGCGUUAUCCGGAUUUAUUGGGUUUAAAGGGAGCGUAGAUGGAUGUUUAAGUCAGUUGUGAAAGUUUGCGGCUCAACCGUAAAAUUGCAGUUGAUACUGGAUAUCUUGAGUGCAGUUGAGGCAGGCGGAAUUCGUGGUGUAGCGGUGAAAUGCUUAGAUAUCGCGAAGAACUCCGAUU